UUGGAGGGCAAGUCUGGUGCCAGCAGCCGCGGUAAUUCCAGCUCCAAUAGCGUAUAUUAAAGUUAUUGCAGUUAAAAAGCUCGUAGUUGAAUUUCGGAAUCUGUCCUUUGGUCGGGCUUCACUGUCCGUACUGGUGUGAUGGGUUUCUACCUUCUGAAUAACCGGCAUGUCAUUAAUUUGGUGCGCCGGGGAAGCAGAACUAUUACCUUGAAAAAAUUAGAGUGCUUAAAGCAGGCUAUCGCCUGAAUAGAUUAGCAUGGAAUAAUAAAAUAGGACGGCAUGGUUCUAUUUUGUUGGUUUCUAGGAUCACCGUAAUGAUUAAUAGGGAUAGUUGGGGGCAUUAGUAUUCAAUUGUCAGAGGUGAAAUUCUUGGAUUUAUUGAAGACUAACUUCUGCGAAAGCAUUUGCCAAGGAUGUUUUCAUUAAUCAAGAACGAAAGUUAGGGGAUCGAAGACGAUCAGAUACCGUCGUAGUCUUAACCAUAAACUAUGCCGACUAAGGAUCGGACGAUGUUAAUUUUUUAAUGACCCGUUCGGCGCCUUACGGGAAAC
RNAcentral lists this ribosomal RNA (551 nucleotides) under uncultured Acaulospora. RNAcentral's name for it is "SSU rRNA". It matches the Rfam family "Eukaryotic small subunit ribosomal RNA", at positions 548 to 1098 of the family's 1831-position model. The record is from RNAcentral. Lineage: Eukaryota; Fungi; Glomeromycota; Glomeromycetes; Diversisporales; Acaulosporaceae.